Molecule: ribosomal RNA, 497 nt
Filed under: uncultured bacterium
Lineage: Bacteria
Description: partial 16S ribosomal RNA
Rfam family: Bacterial small subunit ribosomal RNA
Source: RNAcentral
GAUGAACGCUGGCGGCGUGCCUAAUACAUGCAAGUCGAGCGAACAGACGAGGAGCUUGCUCCUCUGACGUUAGCGGCGGACGGGUGAGUAACACGUGGAUAACCUACCUAUAAGACUGGGAUAACUUCGGGAAACCGGAGCUAAUACCGGAUAAUAUAUUGAACCGCAUGGUUCAAUAGUGAAAGACGGUUUUGCUGUCACUUAUAGAUGGAUCCGCGCCGCAUUAGCUAGUUGGUAAGGUAACGGCUUACCAAGGCAACGAUGCGUAGCCGACCUGAGAGGGUGAUCGGCCACCCUGGAACUGAGACACGGUCCAGACUCCUACGGGAGGCAGCAGUAGGGAAUCUUCCGCAAUGGGCGAAAGCCUGACGGAGCAACGCCGCGUGAGUGAUGAAGGUCUUCGGAUCGUAAAACUCUGUUAUUAGUGAAGAACAAAUGUGUAAGUAACUAUGCACGUCUUGACGGUACCUAAUCAGAAAGCCACGGCUAACUACGUG